Molecule: non-coding RNA, 778 nt
Organism: Rattus norvegicus (Norway rat)
Lineage: Eukaryota; Metazoa; Chordata; Mammalia; Rodentia; Muridae
Source: RefSeq, a predicted model, not a curated record
CAUCCAGACACCAUCAGAUCCAGGCUGACUGCAAGCUAUUGUUUUGAAAUGCAACAUAGAUUAUGACAUCACUUAGAACUGUUCAGCUAAAAUUGUUUCAUGUUUCUUAUAUAGCACAGAGGAAGUUGUAUCCUUUGGUCCCUCCUAAGUUUCUGUUAAGAUUAUUAGUCCAGUGAGGAUGAAAGCAACAAAGACUCUCUGCUAUACUUGGUGUAGCUUGAGCACAGAAGACCUCAAAACCUGCCUCCACAGGGACACACUUCCUCCAACAAGGCCACGCCUAUUCCACCAUGGCACAAGAAAGCCUUUCUUCUAUUGGUCACUUGGCUUCUUUCAGUACCACACAGCUUUCAUCCCUUAGGCCCCCAGGCACAGAAAUACUGGAUGCUGAGAGUAAGACACAUGGAUGAGAGGAAACCCAUUUGCGCAUGUACAGCAUAAUAUUCUGAGAAUACAGAGAUCACAUUGUCUAUCAGCCAGUUGCUUCAUUGGUUUGUGAGCAAAGCAUAUUGACUAACCUUCCAAGAGGAUAUUGGAUAUGUUUUCAAAUGGACAACGGACAUCAUAACCAAAUCAGCAUAGAGGCCAGCACAGAAGAUAAAGACAAUGGCUAUAGAUGUAAUAUGUCAGCAGUCAAAUCCUGAUUGUCAUGUCUUAGCUGUAUGAGCACGGACAUUCACUUUAAUUAGAUAAGGCCUGCACCAGCCUCAUAUGCCAGUCAUGACUCAUAUGUAUUUUGCGUACCUGUGUAUAAAAUAUCACACACUAAAAUGUACCA